AGAGUUAGCCGGUGCUUCUUCUGAUGGUACCGUCAUUAUCUUCCCAUCUGAAAGUGCUUUACAACCCGCAGGCCUUCUUCACACACGCGGCAUUGCUGGAUCAGGCUUUUCGCCCAUUGUCCAAUAUUCCCCA
Molecule: ribosomal RNA, 133 nt
Filed under: uncultured bacterium
Lineage: Bacteria
Description: partial 16S ribosomal RNA
Source: RNAcentral